This 253-nucleotide ribosomal RNA is filed under the name uncultured bacterium. Its description in RNAcentral is "partial 16S ribosomal RNA". It matches the Rfam family "Bacterial small subunit ribosomal RNA", at positions 524 to 776 of the family's 1533-position model. The record is from RNAcentral.
UACAGAGGGCUCAAGCGUUGUUCGGAUUCAUUGGGCGUAAAGGGCGCGUAGGCGGCGCGGUAAGUCGGGUGUGAAAUUUCGGAGCUUAACUCCGAAACUGCAUUCGAUACUGCCGUGCUCGAGGACUGGAGAGGAGAGUGGAAUUUACGGUGUAGCGGUGAAAUGCGUAGAGAUCGUAAGGAAGACCAGUGGCGAAGGCGGGUCUCUGGACAGUUACUGACGCUGAGGCACGAAGGCCAGGGGAGCGAACGGG